UCUCAGUUCGGAUUGGAGUCUGCAACCCGACUCCAUGAAGCUGGAUUCGCUGUAAUCGCGCAUCAGCCAUGGCGCGGUGAAUACGUUCCCGGGCCUUGUACACACCGCCCGUCAAGCCAUGGGAGCCGGGAGUGCCUGAAGUCCGUGACCGCGAGGAGCGGCCUAGGGUAAGACCGGUGACUGGGGCUAAGUCGUAACAAGGUACC
Molecule: ribosomal RNA, 206 nt
Filed under: uncultured bacterium
Lineage: Bacteria
Description: partial 16S ribosomal RNA
Rfam family: Bacterial small subunit ribosomal RNA
Source: RNAcentral